UAAACACACGCAUGACCUUGGCCAGCCUCAGACUUUGUUUACAGCAAAUAUUACAAGUUCACUGUUUUGUUGGUGGUGGUGGUGGUGGUUUUUUUAAUUCAAAUUCUUGCCACAAUUCACAGAAGUCACAAAUACAGUUUUCGAGAUUAGCAAGUUUCUGAACGUGUCCUUAUGGUUGAGGGAGGAGAGCGUUAUAAAGCUCAGUUGCAGCUCCUUACACUUAGGCCUGUCAUAUAAAGCAAUACUUCGCAAGGUUUGCCAGUACUGCCCGUUUCAACCCACAGAUGCGUAAUGAUUUACUCUGUCCCCAAAAUUCUGCUCAGAAUUAAGUCAAGGCUUCCAAAAACUGGUAGAGACAUAGUUAGAUCAUAGCCUUUUGAUAGACUAUUCAACAUGUCAACAGAUACAAGUUAUGACUUUGUUUUUUUUAAUUCAGCAGUGACUCAUCACACAGCAAUCUAUUUACUCACUUCCGCUCAGUGGCCUUGAUUACAAUUGGUCCGAUGUAAUAAAACUAUCCAGUUUGGAGAUAUCCAACUUUGCCUUAACAUACAGAAGAGUUACUGACCCAAGAAAAUCAGUUUGUGAUCAAAGCGUUCCCUUCUCAGGUUUACUUUCAGCCUACCCGGUAAGGCAUUCUAUUUCACCCUACUGCAACCCGUUUUCAAUAAGACCAUCCGGAGCCACAGAGUUGGAAAAACAAAACUAAAAAUCCUGUGAAAUAGGAAAGAGUGACUAGCAAGAACGUCAAGCAGACCAGGAGACUUAACUAUCAGGUUACUUUUCAUUAAUCGGCGGGUCAUGCACAACAGGCAUCGCAUUUAUUCGGAAGCGCAGAGUCCCACUACAGACAAAGCCCUGCCGAAGAGCGCGCAGACAGACUGCUGAGCCCUGGCAAAGCCUCCACAAAGCCGAUGGGCUCCAGGAAAUCACAGCAGCAGCUGCAUGAAAACAAGCGACUGAUGCUUUUAAACCAAGCUUUCAAACAGCAGCCUCCAGAACCAGUCCGCAAGUCUGUGCUUUUGUUACUCUGGGUAGAAUAAGAGCUUUUAUGCCUGUUAUAAUACAGCAAAUCUAAGACUGAGUUUGUGUGAAAACACGCAUUUCCUUGACCAGCAACACUGCUCGCUAGCUGAACAUGAGGUAUUUUGUGAGGUGAUUUAUCCGCUUAGCGCUGCCAGACCUCCAACCUGAAACGAGGAGCGAGACGUCACGUUACAUCAGACAGACUGCAAUAUUACCUAAGAGACGCAAACGAACAGCACUGAAAAGACAAAAGCACCAUGACUGAAGCGUGAGGACACGACACGGGACGGACCAGUGUGAAAAACAGUGUUACACCAAUAUGAAUCCUUGAAGAGGGUUUUUUUUACUGCAAAAAGGAAUCUGAAAGCAAGGGGUACACUUGGGGUGUGAGGCCAGAAGAGCUGUGAGCAGGUUUGGGACAGAAGAAAAGUAUUUCUGAUGCCUGAACAGUAUUGGCAGCCGGACCACGCAGAAGGUUUUUAGAUGGUUACCAAAUCUUUUCUGCUGUUAACGUCAAGUGAAUGGGAGUUUCAAAAGGAAAGGAGUCUACAUUAUGUCAUCGACCCGGUAGGAUCAGGUGAAGACGUGAUGGCCUUGGAGUGGUUCUUCCACUGACUGGAGUUUGCCGUUAUCAGAGCAACGUGGAGCAAAUUAAGUCGGUGGGAAACGCGUUUGUUGGCUCAAGCCCAAGGAACGUCAGUUCUUUAGAUUUCACAUCUGAAAGCUUGGCUUUGCCAAGACCUGCCUGCUGCACGGGACCUGCUGGAAUGACACACCGAACCGGCCAUGCGAACCAGUACAAAAGCUGGUCUUUUCUUCCUCUGCCCUUUACACAAAUAUGUUCGGGAUCUGUUCCAACUCCUGGCAACAAAGGCAGCUUCAGCUAUGCGGUCCUUGAGAGUGAAAAUACACCGGGGAAAAUCCUAAGCACAAAAAACUCCCUGGCUUUCCUGCCCCCGUGUGAGGGGAGUGUUAGAGGAGAGGCCGCAUCAGAAGUGGAUGGAUCGGGCUCUGACAGCGACUGCUGGGGACUCUUGGAGAGUUCCCAGCAGAGAAUUUAUGGGGAAAAAGCAAAAACAUCACCACACGACACUGGGAGAAUUUCACUGUCUGGAAGAAAGAGCUUGGAUGGUAGAAAACUCGUGUUGCCUCAGCUGAGACAGGUGUCUGGAAACACCUAUGUAAGUUACACAUCAGUGCAUUUUUUUAAAAAAUGAUGAAAAUAAAAAUGGAUGACAUGAGAAAGAAAUAAAGUACAGGUUUAUCAGAGGAAAGUUCAAUACAAAUUCACAAAUAAUAAAGAUGUGGUUAAUUCCACACUCUUCAUUCAAUAGAAGCACAAAUCCAAAUGAGAGGCUGCAAACCUUACGUCGAAGAAUAUAGAUAUAGUGCCUGAUUUUGUAGUGCAUUGAUUAUUUUCCUCCUAUUGAAAACUCAAGCCUGCCCCAUAAAUGCUAACCUGCUAAAUAAGCCCAGAAGGAAGUAUCACCGAGAAUAAGCUGUCUGAAACUCGACCGUCGCUCAGCGUUGCUGCCCUUUCACUUACCCUCCUUUCCCUCAGUUAGGUUUGUGUCAGAUUCAAGCCUGCAGGAAAUUAGGAGCUGCUGCUAGUGUUCAGCCCAGCCGUGCUGCUAGGAAAAUGCAAGGCUUUUUUUGCCGGAGCCCGUAGGCUUGUAUGUCUUUUGAGGCAGGUAGAGGUUGAUCGACUAGGACUGUCAGGGGAGUUAGGAUGGGCUUAGGGAGGAAAGAGCCACAGAAAAGAGUUAAUGGCUCUCUUUUUGGUUUACAGAUUGUAAACCAAACUCUCACCCAUCUGCCAGGGGAUUACUGUCUUCAUUUAUGUCCCAAACUGGACAUGGUUAUCGGUUUUAUGUGAAGCUUCAAGCGUGCCAUGUGCAAGUAGGGUUCUGUAACACCACAUUUGGAACCCAAAUCUGAAAGCGCCCCGUCUUUUAAAAUUCUGGAUAUUUCAGAGUUGUCUCUUAUAGCUAGGACUGCAGGAACCCGAGGCUUCCAACAUCCCCAAACCUGCAUUAACCUGACACCUUGUGCAAGCUUUAAAAAAAUCACAGGAAUGUAGGCAUCUACCAGAGCCUGCCACCACAGAGUGUGAGCAUCCUGCCAACAUGUUUACUCACUGCUGUAAUGAACACAUGCAAGAUUAGAAAGUUUGUUUAAGUAUUACUGGAAACCAUUUUCCAUCACAAUCCUUUCAGCUGUUUUACAAGGGCUGCAGGAGGAAAUUCCGCCUUUGGGCUCCGAGGCUGGUGCCCACGGCGGCACGGGAAGGCUCAGCAGCGCCGAGCUCCUCCGUGAAAGCACCGCAGGUGGCUGCGAGAGGAGCACACAGCACCUGCAGCGACAUGAACUAAACGGAGGGAAGGUCACAGCCUGCACCGCUUCUUUUGUCAGUGCCAUGCAACGAGCUUCAGACUACGUUUGCCCAUUGCACAGCUGCAUCAAAAAAUGAGUUGGACUUGGGUGAGUUAGGACAGUUGCAGUGCAAAUCAGAGGCAGAGGAUGAACCCGAACCCAGAGGUGCAGAGAGCCAGUUUCUCUGCUCUAUAUAACACGUGUCCUACCUAUAAUUUCCUAGUCAUAUAUAGUUUCUGAGUGUAGUCAAGCAUAAACUAUUUAAGGCAGGGAUUCCCUGUGCAAUUGU
Cygnus atratus (black swan) is the source of this 3688-nucleotide long non-coding RNA. RefSeq lists it as uncharacterized. The transcript has 5 exons. NCBI's taxonomy places the organism in Eukaryota, Metazoa, Chordata, Aves, Anseriformes, Anatidae. The record is from RefSeq and is a predicted model, not a curated record.